This 558-nucleotide long non-coding RNA is filed under the name Volvox carteri. RNAcentral describes it as "long non-coding RNA (VCAR_LNC003521)". Lineage: Eukaryota; Viridiplantae; Chlorophyta; Chlorophyceae; Chlamydomonadales; Volvocaceae. The record is from RNAcentral.
GGUGAAGGGCUUGCCCGCGUCUUCAGUUGCAGCAUAGUCGCUAUCAGCGGACGGUCUGCUAUCGACCGACAAGCGUUUCGCCAUCUGCGCUGCCGUACUUGUUGCAGUCCGAUUCUUGACUAAUUAAGCUGGCAGACUGCAAAGCCUGCCUGCCACAAGCUGAAAAUUUGGAAUGGCUGUUGAGACGCGUGUUAAUUCCCAAACACCGCUUAGGAGCUGACUGCUAUCCUGCCAGCAUACCGCCACGUAGCCAGGCAAGGUCCGUUCCCGUACGGAAUCGUAGAGGUGGCCGGGUGCGCUGCAGGGUCCAAGUGCGUGAUGGUAAAAUGCUUCAAAGUUGCUGUGUCUCUAAACCAGGCAAGCCAUUGAGUGAAGGGUUUGAGAUCGCCAUGCGGAAACGUACGGCCUGCGUGGAGCACGCCGAGUAUUCCCCGGUGGGUCGCGCGUAGGGUGGAGUCACAAUUCAUCCCUUGAACCCCCGCAUUGCCUAAGAUUGUGGUGGAAUGCUGCCCAGCCACCCGAUGAAGAUAGAAAGCACGGGUACACAAGAAAGACAGC